Gasterosteus aculeatus aculeatus (three-spined stickleback) is the source of this 5457-nucleotide long non-coding RNA. NCBI's taxonomy places the organism in Eukaryota, Metazoa, Chordata, Actinopteri, Perciformes, Gasterosteidae. The record is from Ensembl.
CUCCCGUUGCGGUACAGCCUGCGCCUCGAAGGGCGUUGAGGUGAGAUGUGACCUGGUCACAGAGAGGGUCGCGACGCGUCGGCGACUCUCCGUGAUUUCAGCUGAGUUGAACCCAAUGUUGUGCUGGUGACUUGAACCCAUGUCGUGGUAGUGGUGCUGGUGGUGGAUCCCCCCCCCCCUCUCUUUCUCUCCCUCCCUCCCUCCCUCUGUGUCCGUCGUCCAUGUGGUCGUCUUCCGAAACGCGGCUGUCGCCUCCACCUUUUGUCUGACCUCACGUUGUGACUGCUUUAGGAGUGUCCAGUCCUCCCCAUGUCCCCCUUUUGACUUCUGUCGUCCUGACUUGUCCUCGUCUUUCUGCAGUGGCUCUACGUCAAGAUCAUCAUCAUCAUCAUCAUCAUCCUUCCUAAAGAAAAAGUCACCCACUCCCUUAUUUCCUCUGCUCUCUGACUCUUCUUCUCCAGGAGAUGAAGAUCUGUUCUGCCAUCAUCAACCUUUUCCACCUGAUCCCAGCUGCACCCCAGACUCUGGUCAAGCCUCUGCUGGAGGUGGUCAUGAAGACCGAGAGGGCCAUGCUCAUAGAGGUAGGACACCAUCUCCACUCGCGUGUUUCUUGGGCUUACGCUUAAGGAUGUUCCAGCUUGAGUCAUUGACUUUUCAUAGGUUAAGUAGGCGAUGCUUGAUAGUUUUAAGAUAAAUAUUUGAAAACUCGAAUGGUACGUUUAUCGUGUGGAGAUCUCAGCUUCUUAGCACAGGUUUUAACAGCGCAGUGCAUUUGCUAUCAUGAAUACUUACCGUCUUUCCUCUUUUCCUCCGGUGCUCCACUCAUCCCUCCUGCGCCAGGCCGGCAGUCCUUUCAGGGAGCCUUUGAUCAAGUUCCUGACGCGCCACCCAUCUCAGACGGUGGAGCUGUUCAUGAUGGAGGCCACGCUGAACGACCCCCAGUGGAGUCGCAUGUUCAUGGUCAGACACCGGCAGCUCGAAGCUACUUUUAAGGCUUUUUAUUGAAACGUGUGCCAUUUAAAACGGCAUUUUGCCGCCGCAGUAAUUGGCUCUAAUCGGGUUAUGACGGCUGUUUCGAGGCUCAGUGGUCAUGUUGCGACCAAAUUGAGAUGGAGCACUCAAAGUCGAAAAAUAUGAAUUUCCUGCUGCUUUAAAUGUUUUAUACUUAGUGUGUGUGUGUGUGUGUGUGUGUGUAGUUUUCUGAAACACAAAGAUGCCAAGCCACUGAGAGACGUUCUGGCUUCUAACCCCAACCGCUUCGUCCCUCUGCUGGUUCCCGCUGGCACGGCGGCGACCGUUCGCCCCGGCUCUCCCUCCACCACCACGGCCAGGCUGGACCUGCAGUUUCAGGCUAUCAAGGUAUACGAAGCAUUUCCCUCCCAAUGUAUGCAUACUCCUAAUUAUCAAUAUGGAGAUACACAACCGUUAUUUUAUUAUCUUGAUAUUUCUGCACAACCCGAAUCUUAAUAUUACAAAGCUCUCAGUAAUUCCACUGCGUGACCUCCGGCCGGUUCCGUCGUUCGUCCUUUUUCUGCUCAGAUCAUCAGCAUCAUAGUGAAGAAUGAUGAGGGCUGGCUGGCAGGGCAGCACUCGCUGGUCAGUCAGCUGAGGCGAGUCUGGGUCAGUGAAGCCUUCCAGGAGAGACAUCGCAAAGACAACAUGGCCGCCACCAACUGGAAGGAGCCCAAGCUGCUGGCCUUCUGCCUGCUCAGCUACUGCAAGUAUGGACUAUUCAAACUUCUAAUGGGGACGGAAAUUCACUAAACAUUGGUCACAUCUUCUGCAGGCUGAAUUUAUUACCCCUCUUGUCUCUUCAAUAGGCGGAACUACUCAGAGAUUGAACUGCUGUUUCAGCUGCUACGGGCCUUCACAGGUCGCUUCUUAUGCAACAUGACCUUUCUGAAGGAGUAUAUGGAGGAGGAGAUUCCCAAGAACUACUCCAUUGCCCAAAAGCGAGCCUUGUUCUUCCGCUUCGUUGAGUUCAAUGACCCCCACUUCAAUGAUGAGCUUAAAGCUAAGGUACGUACAGAGAAGCAAAGUCAAUGUGUGGAAUUAUAAAUCCACCCGGGUUGAUGAUGUUUAGUUAACACUAAAACCAGCUGACCGGUCCUCUAUUUGAAAUGAAUUGAUGGAUGCAUUUCAAUGUGUUUUGGCACAAUGUGAACAUUUUUACUUUUACCCAUAAUAUCGGAAAAUGAAUUUAUUGAAAUAAACGAUUGAUUUGUAGCCACGUUUCUGGACAUCAUACAUGAUGUUUCUAAAUUCUUUAAGCAUCUCCUCAGCUUCCCUCCUUUGCUUCCCCAGCGUGGGACCUGAUCCGUGUGACCUUUCUGGUCGCGCGUUUCCAACCAGAAGGUUAUUGUCUGGCCCGAGACCCUCAGAGGCUCACAGAUGAACGCUUUCGUCCUCUCUACCUGUCCUGCUGCUGAAGCCAUUACAGUCAUUUGGACUGAUUUUUAAUUAACAUCAGUCUCCCCCAAUUAACAUCAGUCUCCCCCAGUGCACACACACACACACACACACACACGCGCAGACACAUUUAGGGCACACAAUCUGGCCGCAGAAGCCGUCAGCGCUGCUGUUGAGUGCAAACGGGUCAGUGGGAAAGGCCCGACCCGGCCGCCCCGCUGUCGCACGUAGCCAGAUGACCGUGUGACAAGAAACGCACAAUUGGCAAGUGCAAUAAACCCACACUCCCCAUUCCAAGGACAUACACUUGUGUUGAUGAUGCUGGUCACACCAACCCGCCCUUUUAUUGUUUUUUUUUCAUGGGCACUAUGCACUGCCUCAGCGUCAAAUGGACUUGUGGGGAAAAGAUGAAAUGGAGGCAGGAGAAGACACCUCGUUGUGUCUUUCCAGGCCUGCAUUUUAACACCCAGCCGAACAAAAAGAUUAGCCCCUCGGAUACCUCAACCCCCCCCGUCGUGUUUCUGCUCAUAUUGUUCUCCGGCACCUUAAUUGUCCUCCUCACAUGCGCAGCAGCUGUUAGCUGCAUGCGGGACGGAGCGACACGCAGAGAAGAUCGCCUGUGUUUAUGUGUUCAUGUGUGCGACUGCUUUGGUGCGGCAGGGUGACAUUUAAAUAAUUGCCGUUAGCAUUUUCCCAGAAGCUUAAUAUCACAAGGAAGUGUGUGUGUGCGUGUGUGUGUGUGCGUGUGUGUGUGUGUGCCGCGCAUGCACGUUGUCAGUGCGCCUGGGAGGUAGACGGGGGCUCAGGUCCGCGCACCGCGGGAGGCUCUCGCGGUGUUUCGCACAGAGAAAGGAGCGGGACGGCAGCAGCGCAUCGUCCACGACGCCUCGGACCGAUCUCGUGCUGCUCGCGCUUUGUUUCUUUUGUUAAACCCAAACAAAAGUGUUCAAGCAGACAAACAAAGUGUGCAAAAUUCAUGAAGCUCCGCGUGUUUGCGUCACGUUCCGUUUCUUUUAAUGACAUUUUUCUAACAUUAUUUAGUAGGAAGUAACAGUGUAAUCAUAAACAAAUCUGACUGUGUACAGCAUGCGUGAAUUAUGUUCUAAGCUGGAACAUAUGCUGCCACAGCUCCCUCUCCACUGAGCGGUGCCCUGUCCCUCCCCAGGAGGGAUUGGACAGGGGGGGGGUUCAUUCACAGAUACCAGCUUCUUUUAAUAAACGCAGUCGUUAUCUUCGUUGUGGUUGGGUUAUUCUGCUGUUCACCAGCUGAUCGAGCCUUCGUCUUCAUCCGCGGAUCCCUACGUACACUCAUUACAUUACAACACACUCCCUGCAGGUUUCGUGUUUGUAAAUCGUAUUUUCAUCAGUCAUUAAGAUUGUAUUUGUUUUUUUUCUCCAUUAAGAGAACGAGUUAGGAGAGAACGAGUGGUUUUGUUCUCCAGUAGUUUCAAACUUUUUAUUUUUAUGUUUUUAUUUUAUUCUGUUUUGCAGAUUUUGAAAGAACACAAUGAUUUUCUCCUUUUUUGGAAGGUGUGCUAUCAUUGAUGAUAUAUGGUCUUAAUGGCGAUCAUCUCUCAUUAAAUUCAAAUCAGCGUGUGUUUUUUCCCUUUUCCGUCUCUUAGGUGUUGCAGCACAUCCUCAAUCUAGCGUUCCUGCACAGCUUCGAGAAGGGGGAAGGUGAGCAGCUGCUCGGACCCCCCAACCCCGAAGGGGACAAUCCUGAAAGCAUUACCAGUGUGUUCAUCACAAAGGUACACACGCACACGCUCGCAGCGGUUCUUCUUCUCCUUUGUUUCCUCCGUCAGUCUCCCUGAUUUCAUUACCUGCUGCAUUUCCUCUCAUAAUGUCUUAUCAGUCCAGCGCGUCUCGGCCGUCAUCCAUUGUUUGCUACUCAGUCGGGUUCGUCCUCUCCUGCAGUCUGCACACAUUCACGCCGUCAUUCCCUCUUUCUCCUCUCCCUUUUAUCCGUCUCUUCCAUCCGUCUUUGUGUUCCUCCCUCUUCCCGUCACAUUCAUUCAUGGGGCCGACUCUGAUUCCUGGUGUAAAUGCCACGAUGUGCUCAUAUUAAAGGUCACCGUGUCUGUGCUGUGGCAGAUCUCAUCACUGACUAACAGCAGUCCUAAUGGCCGCUAAUGACUCUUCAUCGGUCUAGUUAAAACUAAUCCUACUAAUCCCCCCCCACCCCCAGCAGGUGUUCUCUGCUCGCUCCCCCUCUACAGGGAAAUCAGUUCGACUUCCAAGAGGUUUUUGAUAUUUGAAAACGCCUAUUUGACUUCUUUGAAAUGUAAUUUUGCAAAGGGAAUAUUACAGCGGUAUCGUCAAUUCAAGCAAACAAUUUAUUAAAUACAAUGUAUAUCCGUUUCUUGUUUAUGUAAAUAAAGUGCAUCAGGUAAUACUUGUAUUGACCUCUGUUGGCUCCUGGUGAGAAACAUGGGCUUUCAUAUAAUACAGAAAAUUACUUAUUGAUUAGUUGCUUAGUGUACCGUGGUAACCCCUCACUCAGCAAUCUCCCCCAACCCGCUCAGGUCCUGGACCCGGAGAAGCAGGCCGACCUGCUGGACUCUCUGCGGAUCUGCCUGCUGCAGUUCUCCACCCUGCUGGUGGAGCACGCGCCCCACCACAUCCACGACAACAACAAGUCCCGCAACAGCAAACUGCGGCGCCUCAUGACCUUCGCCUGGCCGUGCCUCCUGCCCAAAGCCUGCGUGGACCCUGCCUGCAAAUACAGUGGACACUUACUUCUGGCCCACAUCAUUGCAAAGUUUGCCAUCCACAAGAAGAUUGUGCUGCAGGUGAGAAGGCCCAGUGGAGCGGGGGAUCCAGCUUGACACAGAGCUUCAAGAGAGUAAAGAUAGUAAACGUGUGUAGCGGGCGUAAAAUCCCAGAGUGAGCUUGUAAAAUACCAAAAAAACAUCAUGUUUCAAUUGAAAUCCUCUGAUGUUUACAAAAAAGGAAAAUCAGAAACUUCUAGUGAGUUGGGUUCGUUUGCGCAUUUGUCUCAUGUUCCACCCACUUUAUAAUAUGAACGUAUAGGAACAACCUUUCCUG